Molecule: unclassified non-coding RNA, 237 nt
Filed under: Hevea brasiliensis (rubber tree)
Lineage: Eukaryota; Viridiplantae; Streptophyta; Magnoliopsida; Malpighiales; Euphorbiaceae
Source: RNAcentral
UGGGCAUAAAGGUGGAAAAAGUGUAGCUUAAAAGAACAUACCUUUCAGUCCACAUGAAUAUCAUAGGGAAAAAAAUUUUUGAUAUUAGCAACCAGCACGCACCAAUUUAAGCCAAUCUUUUUCUGCGCUGUUUAACACAGAUAUAACAGUAAACAAAAAGCAUUUUUCUGCCGGCCAUUGUUUCAAUAUCAAGCAGCCUUGUGAACCAGCGGCACCGCUCUGCAAUGUGCGUCAGCC